This 429-nucleotide ribosomal RNA is filed under the name Actinomycetes bacterium. Its description in RNAcentral is "Actinobacteria bacterium partial 16S ribosomal RNA". It matches the Rfam family "Bacterial small subunit ribosomal RNA", at positions 355 to 776 of the family's 1533-position model. Lineage: Bacteria; Bacillati; Actinomycetota; Actinomycetes. The record is from RNAcentral.
UAGGGAAUCUUCCGCAAUGGGCGAAAGCCUGACGGAGCAACGCCGCGUGAGUGAUGAAGGUCUUCGGAUCGUAAAACUCUGUUAUUAGGGAAGAACAAAUGUGUAAGUAACUAUGCACGUCUUGACGGUACCUAAUCAGAAAGCCACGGCUAACUACGUGCCAGCAGCCGCGGUAAUACGUAGGUGGCAAGCGUUAUCCGGAAUUAUUGGGCGUAAAGCGCGCGUAGGCGGUUUUUUAAGUCUGAUGUGAAAGCCCAUGGCUCAACCGUGGAGGGUCAUUGGAAACUGGUAAACUUGAGUGCAGAAGAGGAAAGUGGAAUUCCAUGUGUAGCGGUGAAAUGCGCAGAGAUAUGGAGGAACACCAGUGGCGAAGGCGACUUUCUGGUCUGUAACUGACGCUGAUGUGCGAAAGCGUGGGGAUCAAACAGG